AGGAUUCGCAUCCUCGUACCUACGUAUUCUCAUUAUGCAAUGAGAAAAUCAGAGCAAUCGUAGUUCGUGGCACCACGAGAAUAGAAAGAGAUAUAUAGUGAUAAAUAGUAUGACUUGUACCAACAGAAUGGUAUCAAAAAACCACAAACGGAUGGAACUUGGAAUCAAAGAGUAAACAAGCCACUCAACCAAAGGAAUGAAUUAAAUGUCUGGGUAC
RNAcentral lists this long non-coding RNA (217 nucleotides) under Lathyrus oleraceus (garden pea). RNAcentral's name for it is "Pisum sativum (pea) long non-coding RNA (PSAT_LNC014483)". The record is from RNAcentral. Lineage: Eukaryota; Viridiplantae; Streptophyta; Magnoliopsida; Fabales; Fabaceae.